UCUUUUCUUUUGAUAAGAGAGUUUUUAAAACCAGUGUUAUUUUUGUAAAUUUAAGAGAAGUUUGUGUAUUGAAUUUUUUAUUUUUAAUAUUAAAGAGCUUUGUUAAACUUAGACUUAAGUUUAGGUCAUUUUGGGGGUUUAGCUCAGUUGGCUAGAGCAUCGGCUUUGCAAGCCGAGGGUCAAGGGUUCGAGUCCCUUAACCUCCAUUGGGCUUAUGUCCUAAAUCGUAAUUAAGUAUGUUUUUAAGCAACUUUGUUAAAGUAAUUGUUGGAAUGUGAAACAGAGGAAGUUAAAAUUUCUGGGUUAAGUUGAGAUCUGUUGAUAUUAAGAAGAAUCUCUAGAAGCAAAAGCAAGCUUUCGAUAAAACCCGAAGUUGUUUCGCUAAAGUGCAAGGAUUAAACAGGAUUGUAUUUUCCAGUAGCCUAUUUUAUAAACGAUCUGCAUUUAGUAAAUAGUUUUUAGUUAAGAAAUAAUGUAGAUUGCUAAGUGUGAUGCC
RNAcentral lists this unclassified non-coding RNA (496 nucleotides) under Borreliella burgdorferi (Lyme disease spirochete). Its description in RNAcentral is "partial 16S-23S ribosomal RNA intergenic spacer". The stretch from base 133 to 206 matches the Rfam family "tRNA". The record is from RNAcentral. Lineage: Bacteria; Pseudomonadati; Spirochaetota; Spirochaetia; Spirochaetales; Borreliaceae.